AGGACAGAACAACAGUGAGUUGUGUUAUCAUGUCAGGCCCAGAUUGUGCUGCAGGACGGGCUAGUGAAGUGUAAAUUGAGAGCACGUGGAAGGGGUGAUUGGACUAUGGCUGCAACAUGGUCUUAUUCAUAGUGACUCUUUGGACGGGGCAGGAGACUGGACAGUUUAGGUCUAAGGAGGAGGAAGGAUUGACAAGAGAUUGAGAGGAACUUUUUAAAGAUUGCCUGCCGGAGUGAUGCCACUCAACACACCUCAAGACUACUCCUGGUAGUCCAUGGUGUCUAUGAUGGAGAAGAUCCAGUGGAUGUGGCCAUCCUUCUUUUUGAAUGCAAGGAGAUGUUGCCAGGAUGCCGCAGUGCUGCUAAAGCUUGCACGCUGCUUAUGGGACUGAUUUAUGCCCUCAACUUUACAUAUCCCCCAAACACUGCGCUACACCUUUAAGGUCUUGCAGAAACUUUUCCUAGAAGUGGAUGGGAUUAAGCUGUCCCCAAAAGUACCAGCUUUAAAGCUGAAGUUUCUGUUUUAAAUGCUAUUGCGUAGCAAGUGUUGUACUAGUCAUGGUACAUCUCUGGUACACUCACUUCUCCAUCUUGCAAAUGAUUGUAACAACUUGAAAAGACACUGUCACCUGCAUCCUUCAUCAGCUUUGACUCUCUAAAAGACUGUUAAAUGUGGUCAGUUGGGACCAGGACUUGUUGACUUUGAAAAAUAUACUGAAUAUAAAUAUCUAUUUCAGAUGGGUAAAUACAGUGGAUAAACAUGUUUUAAUGCAUUAUGGUUUUAUUGGCACACAGAGUGCACAAGUCCAUAAUACUGGUUUGAAUUUUGCAGUUUUUGUUUUUGUUUUUAAAGCACCAUGUCAAAUCUAUGUUGGAUGCAGUGGAAUUGUCUUUGAGGGCAAGGUAAUAUUGACCAACAAAUCUUUGCAAUAAUUACUGACAAAGAACAUUGGUGGUGGGUGGAGUGGUAUUGAUAGGGAUUUCACCGUUAAUGCUCUGUCAGUUUAAAACUUCACCUUUUGUUGUUUUUGUCAUGUGAUAUGCUCUUCUAUGUAUGACACUUUCUGAGGUCAAAGAAGCAAUUUGGAAUUUUGUUUUUAUUCAGUACAGCCAAAAUGACUAUUCUAUAUCAUCUUUAUAUCUAUAUGUCCAGGAGAUGUGAAUUUUAACUGGUGUUAACUGUCACAUAAUAAACUAAACUGU
This is a long non-coding RNA of Micropterus dolomieu (smallmouth bass), 1202 nucleotides long. RefSeq lists it as uncharacterized. The transcript is spliced from 3 exons. The record is from RefSeq and is a predicted model, not a curated record. Lineage: Eukaryota; Metazoa; Chordata; Actinopteri; Centrarchiformes; Centrarchidae.